UGUGGGAGCGGGCUUGCCCGCGAUUGCGGUGGGUCAGAUCCAAUGAUGUUGACUGACACUCCGCUAUCGCGGGCAAGCCCGCUCCCACA
Molecule: unclassified non-coding RNA, 89 nt
Filed under: Pseudomonas sp. B10
Lineage: Bacteria; Pseudomonadati; Pseudomonadota; Gammaproteobacteria; Pseudomonadales; Pseudomonadaceae
Source: RNAcentral